Trichonephila inaurata madagascariensis is the source of this 72-nucleotide non-coding RNA. The record is from the annotation of a GenBank genome assembly. Lineage: Eukaryota; Metazoa; Arthropoda; Arachnida; Araneae; Nephilidae.
GGGGUGUGUAGCUUAGUGGUAAAGUAUUCGACUGCAGUUUGAGCGGUCUCCGGUUCUAAUCCGGUGUCCCCU